RNAcentral lists this ribosomal RNA (253 nucleotides) under uncultured bacterium. RNAcentral describes it as "partial 16S ribosomal RNA". It matches the Rfam family "Bacterial small subunit ribosomal RNA", at positions 524 to 776 of the family's 1533-position model. The record is from RNAcentral.
GACAGAGGUGCCGAGCGUUAGGCGGAAUCACUGGGCUUAAAGCGUGUGUAGGCGGACUUGUAAGUACCUUGUGAAAUCCCACAGCUCAACUGUGGAACUGCUUGGUAUACUGCUUGUCUUGAGCCACUUAGGGGCAGUCGGAACAGACGGUGGAGCGGUGAAAUGCGUAGAUAUCUGAAGGAACAUCAGUGGCGAAAGCGACUUCCUGGACCAGAACUGACGAUCAGGCACGAAAGCGUGGGGAGCAAACAGG